Unclassified non-coding RNA from Loxodonta africana (African savanna elephant), 322 nucleotides. Its record names the gene 7SK. It matches the Rfam family "7SK RNA". From Rfam's summary of the family: 7SK was discovered as an abundant small nuclear RNA in the mid-70s but a possible function has only recently been suggested. Lineage: Eukaryota; Metazoa; Chordata; Mammalia; Proboscidea; Elephantidae. The record is from Ensembl.
GAAUGUUAGAGCAAUCUAGCUGCAACAACUGUCACACCAUUCAUCAUCAACAUUGAUUCAGCUGUCCUGGAUAACCAGGCAGUUGAUCCCUUCCCCACUCACUACACCAUGUAUACUACUCCCAAAGCCACAUGCUCCAUUGAAGUGGAUGUCCUUCUCAUGCACAUGGAAGCCACUCCACACUGAUAUCCAAAUAUAUAUAUAUGAAUACUUAUAUCCCUGUGCUAGGAAUUCUCCCAGAUCUCUAAAGGUCCACUUGAAGGAAUUAAGAAUCCCAAAAAUAGCACACCAUUGCCUCAAAAAUAUAGUAUGGCUCAAGGGU